Molecule: long non-coding RNA, 226 nt
Filed under: Capsella rubella
Lineage: Eukaryota; Viridiplantae; Streptophyta; Magnoliopsida; Brassicales; Brassicaceae
Description: long non-coding RNA (CRUB_LNC003411)
Source: RNAcentral
AAUUUUGGGUUUUGAAACAUUAGGUCCAGUUGAUGCAUUCAUGCAUAUGUAUAUUUUUUUUAUUUUUUUUUAUUUUUGCUUUCGAUCGGAUAAUUUAGAAAUGAAAGAGAAUUAUAGUAGGAUCCAAAGCUUUUAUUGUUGUAUCCUCUGUGUUAAUUUCAUUCAAUUUACUAUAAAUGUUUAUUUCUUCUACAUGACUACAUAUGUAUAUCAACCGCAAAUUAAU